Molecule: ribosomal RNA, 600 nt
Filed under: Escherichia coli
Lineage: Bacteria; Pseudomonadati; Pseudomonadota; Gammaproteobacteria; Enterobacterales; Enterobacteriaceae
Description: bacterial SSU rRNA
Rfam family: Bacterial small subunit ribosomal RNA
Source: RNAcentral
AAGAGUUUGAUCAUGGCUCAGAUUGAACGCUGGCGGCAGGCCUAACACAUGCAAGUCGAACGGUAACAGGAAGCAGCUUGCUGCUUUGCUGACGAGUGGCGGACGGGUGAGUAAUGUCUGGGAAACUGCCUGAUGGAGGGGGAUAACUACUGGAAACGGUAGCUAAUACCGCAUAACGUCGCAAGACCAAAGAGGGGGACCUUCGGGCCUCUUGCCAUCGGAUGUGCCCAGAUGGGAUUAGCUUGUUGGUGGGGUAACGGCUCACCUAGGCGACGAUCCCUAGCUGGUCUGAGAGGAUGACCAGCCACACUGGAACUGAGACACGGUCCAGACUCCUACGGGAGGCAGCAGUGGGGAAUAUUGCACAAUGGGCGCAAGCCUGAUGCAGCCAUGCCGCGUGUAUGAAGAAGGCCUUCGGGUUGUAAAGUACUUUCAGCGGGGAGGAAGGGAGUAAAGUUAAUACCUUUGCUCAUUGACGUUACCCGCAGAAGAAGCACCGGCUAACUCCGUGCCAGCAGCCGCGGUAAUACGGAGGGUGCAAGCGUUAAUCGGAAUUACUGGGCGUAAAGCGCACGCAGGCGGUUUGUUAAGUCAGAUGUG